GUGGCUCAGUGGUAGAGGAUCCACCUUACAUGCAGAAGGUCCCAGGUUCAAUCCUGAGCAUCUCCA
This is a non-coding RNA of Podarcis lilfordi (Lilford's wall lizard), 66 nucleotides long. The record is from the annotation of a GenBank genome assembly. NCBI's taxonomy places the organism in Eukaryota, Metazoa, Chordata, Lepidosauria, Squamata, Lacertidae.